This 3271-nucleotide long non-coding RNA is filed under the name Mustela putorius furo (domestic ferret). RNAcentral's name for it is "lncRNA (ENSMPUG00000028486.1)". The record is from RNAcentral. Lineage: Eukaryota; Metazoa; Chordata; Mammalia; Carnivora; Mustelidae.
GACGGAGUCCGUGUGUGCCGCACAGCCCAACAAGCCUGCUGCGGGCCUCUAGAGAAAAGCGCUCAGAGGCGGGCGGAGGAGAGGGGCUGAACCGGUGGAAGGUCGGUGACUGCGGAGGUCAGCGGGCGGGGCCUGCCGCCGCCGCCGCAGAGAGCUCAAAUCGCUGAAGACUGGGGCACAUCGCUGGAGACGAAACUGCGGUGGAUCCGGGAGGACUGUCACAGGCACCCUGCAGCCACUUCAUCUUCCCAAGGCCGGGACUUGCCUUUUGGUGUCCCCGUGGCAGUGACAGGGAAGCGGGAAGCUGUGUUGGCCCCACCAGGUAGCCCCGGAUUGAGCUCCCGCUGGUCACCCCUUCGCACUGUGGACUCCCACCCCAGCCAGUGGUCCCUGGAGCUUCUUGGCGGCAUCCCUGUUUGCUGGCCUCCUGCCUCCUUGCAGACCUCUGUCGCCUCCAGGUCCCUCAGCCCACAGUCUCCUCUGUGGGCAUCUCCAGCUGGCUUCGAUGGUGGCCUUCCCUGCUUCCCUAAUUCCCGGGACUUGCAGGACAAGCUCAAACCCUGUGGGCUGGACCUGGGGGCCUAUGGCAUGAAACUGAGAUGUGCACGGAAUCUGAUUUCUUUCCCUGCUGCAGAUACAGCUGGAUGCCACCUUCCCACUGUCCCCGCAGCCAGGAGUGGCCGUGCGACUGAGUUCUGGCCCAUGGAAUAAGUCAGAAGGAAGGCACACAAAUCCGUGCUGGGCCCUCCCCGCAAAUUCCUACACAAUUUGUCCUCUACUCUCUCUGGCCCUCUAUACUGGCCAGGUCCAGGACCCCCAGGAAAGGAACCUGAGGCCCUAUGAGAUGGGAGACCCACAAAACUGAAGGUACCUGCAUCCCUGUGUCCUCGUUUGGCUGUGGACUGAACCCCAGCACUUCUCUGGGCUGCGGAGGGGGACUAGAUCUGUGCGCUGUUACAGCGUUGAGAUUCGGGGGUGGUUUGAGAUGGCAUCUAGCCCCCCAUGACAAAUACAGGUCUCUGUUGCUCUGGUUCUAGUCUCCCUUCCAGUCCUCUUCCACUUCUCCCUCACUUGUCUGUGAUACAGUGGAGACACUGGCCGUGCUAGCUGGCCUGGGACCUUGUCCUCUCUCUGGCUCUAUGAUGUCCUUUCCCUCCUCCCAUAUCUCCCUGGGACAGCCCAGCCAUCCUUCUCCAAAGACUUCAGGCAUCUUUGGGAUGAGAGGUGUUGGCCCCUUCUCAGUUUCUACGGCAUUCUUUUGGCAAACAUCUCACAGCCGUUUGGCCUGGUCUUUGCACAUGCAUUCACUUCCCUGUGGGGACUUGCCUCUUGUCCUGGCUUCCAGGACAUCACACAUGCCGGGUUCCCCUCCUGCCCUUCAUCUUGGAUAGUCUUCUCCACCUCUCCUCACCCACACAGGGCCCUCAUCCAACCUCACGGCCUCAAACCUAGUCAGCACACUGAGAACAGCCCCGUUUCCAUCUCCAGCCUGAACCUCUCCCCAAGCUCAGCCCAACUCCCUAUUCAGCAUUGCCCCAUGGAUUUCUGAUGGAUACCCCCAACUCAGCAUGCUCUCACAUGAGCUGCAGCUCUUCCCCGCCUAUCCCUACCUCACCCUCAGUGAAUGGCAAUCCUUGACUUCCAGUCCUCACGCCCAGCCCUCUUUUUUCUCAUAACACACCCAGGCUACGCGCCAAUCUCUUGGGAGCCUGCUCCACACAACACACCUCUACCCCGGCUACUUCUCACAUAUGCCGCACAGCAUCUGCACCCCAGCCUCCAUAUAUCUCCCCCAGACUGUUGAAACAGCCUCCUUAACUUGGCUGCUUGUGUCUAUCCUUGUCGCAAAACAGUCUUUUCUCAGAACAGCCUGAGGUAUUCUUUUAAAAUAUAAAGUUAGAUCGUGUCACUUCUCAACGUGAAACCCCUCUAAAAGACUUUCUGUUUUACCCAAUGUAAAAACAAGUCCUGACGUCGGCUUCUAGGGACUUCCAGGAUUUCUGACCUCACCUCCUUCUUCAGCCUCCAGGCCUUUCUGACCUGAGGGCCCUGGAUGUGUCUUCACGAGGUGACCCUGUGGCUCGCGCCCCUGCCCCCCUCGACACCUGACUCAGCAGGCCCCUUCUUGGUGAAGCCUUCCUUGAGCUCCCAGAUGCCCCUGGCCUGCCCUUUGUCUUCCUCUAGCUGUUGUUCUCAAAACACUUCUCAUGUUCUAAUCAGUGUUCCUGUUGUAGUUUGUCUGUGUCUUUUCCCUGGAAUGAGGGUUUCAGAGAGCGAGAAUUUUUGUCUAUUUUGGAGCCUGUGGCAUUGGCACGGCCUGGCAUGACGCCUGCCAGGGAGCAUUUGCUGUGUGACGGCUCUGCUCCCAGUGCUAAGCCUUCAUCACCCGCACACCGACCCUGGGGGCCAGGGGUGGUGGGGGUAUCAUGCAGGCUUAGCUGUAUGUUCUGCAGAGGCACCUCUGAGGCCACCUGGGUGGGAUGAGCCUGCCUGUCUCGACCACGGCAGCCUGCCCCCUCGGAUCAGUAAUCAUACCCUUUGAUGGAAAACCUUCCGAAAAGAAGGCUUGAGGCAAGAGACAAGAGUGCAAGUUCACAUGCCAGAUGGCAUCACCAAACGCUGCUCUGCCAGAUCUAGUGGCCUAGUCCACGUGCCAGAUCUCAAGAGCAUUUUGCAAAAUGUAUUAAUUGAUUUUUAUAACAUCUCUGCCAGACAGAGGAGGAAUCAGUCCCCUGAUCAAAGAAAACUCUGUUUGGGGGAUAAAUUGGGCACAAAGAUGGAGCAGGGAAGCCUCAGGGUGCCAGGAACUGGGUGGGGGGCUCAGAUCAGUCCUCAAGUCCAAGCUUAGACUCAGUUGCCUGUGACUUUGUUAGAGAUGUGUUGGGGGAGGGGCUGUAGCUUAAGUGCCUGGUUUUGAUUCCCCAACCUACCGGCUCCCAGUUGGGUGAUUUAAUCUUUCUGUCCCUCAGUUUCCCCAGCUCUAAAAUGGGGAUGCAUAGUAUUCUUUUAAUUAGGACCACUGUCACUAGAUACUGAUUAAAGGGUCAACACUCAAUAAAUGUUACUAGUAAUAACCAAUGUCAUAGCAGAGCCACUGGCCACAGCCUCCUGCUGCCUGCCUUCUGUGUGUUACUUGUAUGUGCCUGGCCCCAGCUCCUUGUCCGCUCAGACCCACAGAAGUCUGGGGCUGGACACAUGGAGCCUCAGAAAGUGCUUUUCAGAUCCCUUUGGUCCCCCUGGGAUUAGGGUCCCCCGAAGCCCCAUGGCAGUC